Non-coding RNA from Picea glauca (white spruce), 123 nucleotides. NCBI's taxonomy places the organism in Eukaryota, Viridiplantae, Streptophyta, Pinopsida, Pinales, Pinaceae. The record is from Rfam.
AUGUAUAUUCCUACAACAUAGCGUUAAUGCACCAAAUCCCAUUAGAACUCCGCAGUUAAGCAUGCUCAUGAUAGAGUAGUAUUGGGAUGGGUGACCGCCUGGGAAGUCCUAGUAUUUUACAUG